RNAcentral lists this ribosomal RNA (428 nucleotides) under uncultured bacterium. RNAcentral's name for it is "bacterial SSU rRNA". It matches the Rfam family "Bacterial small subunit ribosomal RNA", at positions 354 to 796 of the family's 1533-position model. The record is from RNAcentral.
GUUAGGAAUUUUACGCAAUGGACGAAAGUCUGACGUAGCAAUGCCGCGUGAGUGACGAAGGCCUUCGGGUUGUAAAGCUCUUUUAGUUGGAAAGAAAAAAAUGACGGUACCAACAGAAAAAGCACCGGCUAACCCUGUGCCAGCAGCCGCGGUAAUACAGGGGGUGCAAGCGUUAUUCGGAGUUACUGGGCGUAAAGCGCACGUAGGUGGUUUAGUAAGUCUGGUGUGAAAUCCCCGGACUCAAUUCGGGAAGUGCAUUGGAUACUACUAGACUAGAGUAUAGGAGGGGAGAGCGGAAUUCCUGGUGUAGAGGUGAAAUUCGUAGAUAUCAGGAGGAACAACGGAGGCGAAGGCGGCUCUCUAGACUAUAACUGACACUCAGGUGCGAAAGCGUGGGGAGCAAACAGGAUUAGAUACCCCGGUAGUCC